CUUGUCCGGGAGGCAGGCAAGCGGGGCAUAUGGCUGAAGUUUCCCGGCCCUGGGCCCAGCCCUGCUUUAAUUCAGCGGACCCUGGGCCCAGGUUCCCUUACCCCUGACCCCCCAACACUAACCGGUCAACCCCCCGAACGCCCUUCCUCGGCUCCGGGAGUCGCCACUCCAGCCCGCUGUGGCUCGAGAACUCUCCCCCCUCCCCCACAGCGACCUGCUUCCUUACUAUUAAUGAAAAGGAAACCUGAACAUUUCAGUCUUUCCUGGUGGAGAAAAUAACAGUA
This is a long non-coding RNA of Pipistrellus kuhlii (Kuhl's pipistrelle), 284 nucleotides long. RefSeq lists it as uncharacterized. The transcript is spliced from 2 exons. NCBI's taxonomy places the organism in Eukaryota, Metazoa, Chordata, Mammalia, Chiroptera, Vespertilionidae. The record is from RefSeq and is a predicted model, not a curated record.